GGAUAUGUAUAAAAUUAACUUCUUUCCUUCUUAAUCUAAUACAGGUUGUUCAGAGGGAGAGGGAAGAAAAGCUUGCUGAAACUUUGAAGGACCGGCUCAAUGUAUAUGUACAAGGAAAUAAAGAGGACUUUGUUCGUCAUGCAGAAGCUGAGGUGUCGAGGCUUUCAAAUGCAGCUUAUGGUGUUGAUAUGUUAAACACAAUUGGGUACAUAUAUGCAAGACAGUCAGCGAAAGAGCUUGGAAAGAAGGCAUUAUAUUUGGGUGUGCCUUUUAUUGCUGAGUGGUUCAGAAACAAAGGCCAUUUUAUCAAAUCCCAAGUAACUGCUGCAACAGGUGCAAUUGCUUUGAUUCAGCUGCAAGAGGACAUGAAAAGGCAGCUCAGUGCAGAAGGAAAUUACACUGAGGAAGAACUUGAAGAGUACAUGCAAUCCCACAAAAAGCUAAUGAUUGAUUCUCUCUGGAAGCUUAAUGUAGCAGAUAUUGAAGCCACUCUUUCUCGUGUUUGUCAAAUGGUUCUACAAGACAACAACGUAAAGAAAGAAGAGCUUCGUGCCCGCGCAAAGGGGUUAAAGACUCUCGGCAAAAUUUUUCAGAAGGUUAAGCCAGUCAAUGAAGUCGAAACUACAGAAAAUGGCGUCCAUAAGCUGGACGGAAAUGAACCAAGCUAUGACUCUCGUUCUUCAACUGCAUCAGUACCAUCUCAAAACAAAGAAGAGGUGCCUUAUACAGUAUUUGCAUCACAGAGCCCAUACGUGGAGGCUCCACAGUUUACCGGUGGUCAAUCCAGCUAUAACUUCCCCAUGCCGACUGCACCACCAGGUGCGCAGAGACACAGGUAGACAGACAAAUGGUGGACGCCGCAAGAAUUUGUGUAGCUUGUGAAUUUGUAGUGAGUUUGAGUUUCUUAUGUAUCCCUAGUGUGCUAUAUUUAAAGCAUAAUUCUUGCUUAGCAGAGAAAAGCUUCUGUCAUAUUGCUUUUUAUGAAGGACUGCUUUGUAAUUAAUAUAGUUAUUAGAGUGUAAGUUGUGUGGCCUGUGAAUGCAAAAUAUUGUAUAUUGCAUUGGUCUAUUCUUCUUGUUUGUUGUAUUAACCAAUUUAAUGUUUUUGUUAUUGACCUAUUUU
Molecule: unclassified non-coding RNA, 1122 nt
Filed under: Hevea brasiliensis (rubber tree)
Lineage: Eukaryota; Viridiplantae; Streptophyta; Magnoliopsida; Malpighiales; Euphorbiaceae
Source: RNAcentral